Molecule: long non-coding RNA, 612 nt
Organism: Sitophilus oryzae (rice weevil)
Lineage: Eukaryota; Metazoa; Arthropoda; Insecta; Coleoptera; Curculionidae
Exons: 4
Source: RefSeq, a predicted model, not a curated record
UCGUUUAAUUUAAUAAUUACUAAAACCAGUAGUUCGAAAGAUAUAUUUAAAAAUAAAAGAUAAAAUUCCAAAAAAUUAAUUAUCUAUUAACGUGGAUUUGGACGACAAUAGGUUUUUAGUUUGUGAUGUUUCAUGUGAUGAUCAUUUUCAUGUUCAUCGUCUUUGAAUUGACAUGAGGAUAUCUAUGGAAAAGUAACUAAUCUGAAAGUAAGCCAACAUAUCGUUUGUCCUUUGUGUGCUAAAGAAAAGAUUUUCUUUUCGCAUCGUGAGGAAGUAUUACAUCAAUUAAAAAAUGUUAGGAAGUUGAUUACUUGUCAUGGAAAAGUAUACCAAUGGAAAUUAUUUGUUAAAGAAGUAUAAUUCUAAGGGUUUUAAGAAUAAAUUGGUUGAACCCAAAAUCUGGAGGAAGUACCUAUAUCCAUACACAGAAUAUGCCCAUUAAGAAUACUAGUCCAAAUUUGCUUUAAUGGAACGAUUAGGGCCCGAUAUAUUUGAAACUCAUGUUGGACAUAGUAUUGAGUUGGGUAGAAUAUUAUUCUACGUUAAGUGAGGAUAUCAGAUACCUAUUAUUGUACUGUAUUUUAAUAUAUACAUUAGAAUUGUUGGUUUUUU